GACGAACGCUGGCGGCGUGCUUAACACAUGCAAGUCGAACGGAAAGGCCCUGCUUUUGUGGGGUGCUCGAGUGGCGAACGGGUGAGUAACACGUGAGUAACCUGCCCUUGACUUUGGGAUAACUUCAGGAAACUGGGGCUAAUACCGGAUAGGAGCUCCUGCUGCAUGGUGGGGGUUGGAAAGGUUAGGCGGUUGGGGAUGGACACGCGGCUUAUCAGCUUGUUGGUGGGGUAGUGGCUUACCAAGGCUUUGACGGGUAGCCGGCAUGAGAGGGUGACCGGCCACAUUGGGACUGAGAUACGGCCCAGUCUCCUACGGGAGGAAGCAGUGGGGAAUAUUGCACAAUGGGCGGAAGCCUGAUGCAGCAACGCCGCGUGCGGGAUGACGGCCUUCGGGUUGUAAACCGCUUUCGCCUGUGACGAAGCGUGAGUGACGGUAAUGGGUAAAGAAGCACCGGCUAACUACGUG
This 468-nucleotide ribosomal RNA is filed under the name uncultured bacterium. RNAcentral's name for it is "partial 16S ribosomal RNA". It matches the Rfam family "Bacterial small subunit ribosomal RNA", at positions 28 to 507 of the family's 1533-position model. The record is from RNAcentral.